AGAGAGAGACAUGCGCCAUAUCAAUAAGCGGAGGAAAAGGAACUAACAAGGAUUCCCCUAGUAACGGCGAGUGAAGCGGGAAGAGCUCAAAUUUGAAAUCUUAAAGGGUUUCCCUUUACGAAUUGUAGUUUAAAGAAGUGUUUUCUGUUGAGGUUUUGGUAAAGGUUCUUUGGAAUAGGACAUCAUAGAGGGUGAGAAUCCCGUAUUUGACCUUUACUUUCAACUUUGUGAUACACUUUCAAAGAGUCGGAUUGUUUGGGAAUGCAGUCCAAAAUGGGUGGUAAAUUUCAUCUAAAGCUAAAUAUUGGCGAGAGACCGAUAGCGAACAAGUACCGUGAGGGAAAGAUGAAAAGAACUUUGAAAAGAGAGUUAAACAGUACGUGAAAUUGUCAAAAGGGAAGCGUUUGACACCAGUGUUGUUUUUCUGAAAAUCAAUUAAAGAACUGUUUAUGCUAAGCUGUUUAGACUUUAUCAGCUAACUGUUUAGUUUUGAGCUUUUCUUUAAUGCACUUUUCAGUUAACAAGUCAACAUCAAUUUCUUUUGCUGUAAAAAAGCUUGAGGAAGGUGGCUUGAGAUUCGUCUUAAGUGUUUAUAGCCUCUUGCCUAUGCAGUCGGAGAGAUUGAGGUCUGCAGCGUAGAUCCUUCGGGGCUAAAUGCAUUUGUGCUAAGUUAUAGCAUUUUAUAGACAACUUGUUGACUAUGAUUUGUCUUGUAGCUUACUCGCUUAUGUUAUUUUACCUACGCUUAGGAUGUUGAGCGCAUGUCUCUCUCU
RNAcentral lists this ribosomal RNA (773 nucleotides) under uncultured Neocallimastigales. Its description in RNAcentral is "partial large subunit ribosomal RNA". It matches the Rfam family "Eukaryotic large subunit ribosomal RNA", at positions 37 to 616 of the family's 3401-position model. The record is from RNAcentral. Lineage: Eukaryota; Fungi; Neocallimastigomycota; Neocallimastigomycetes; Neocallimastigales.